GAAUGAUAAUGGCUUUCUCAUUAGCUUCAUACUGACUUUUAUCUGUGUCAAGAAGUUAGGAAAUUGCAUUCUUAAUCAGCACUUAGUCUCUAUUUGUGAGAUGAAACCACACCAAAUUUUAACAGAGAUAAUGUAAUAGUAUUGUUAACUAGGGAACAGGGAAGGUAGAUAGGAAUACUUAAGAUAUCAUGGAAGUAGCAAUUAGAGGAAACAUUUUUUUUU
This is a long non-coding RNA of Perognathus longimembris pacificus (Pacific pocket mouse), 222 nucleotides long. RefSeq lists it as uncharacterized. Lineage: Eukaryota; Metazoa; Chordata; Mammalia; Rodentia; Heteromyidae. The record is from RefSeq and is a predicted model, not a curated record. The transcript has 2 exons.